RNAcentral lists this long non-coding RNA (986 nucleotides) under Mus musculus (house mouse). RNAcentral describes it as "predicted gene, 50260". The record is from RNAcentral. Lineage: Eukaryota; Metazoa; Chordata; Mammalia; Rodentia; Muridae.
GUGGGGAGCACCCUGUGGGCCAGGCUCUGUGCCGAGGCUUGAAGACAUCGUCUACACGACUUCCUACCUCCCUAUCGACUUCUAAACCCUAGCCACCCUGAGCAUGUUCUUGUGCUUUGUGCUUGACACCAGUUACUCCCCUGCUUGGAAUGUUCUGCACUCGAGUCUUAUCAUCUGGUCCCAGGCAUUCUCCUGGAUGAUUAAUUGACAGCUCUCCAGCCAAGACUGAGUUCCUUCUGGAGGCAGGGCCCCUGGGUGCGCACCUGCCAUGGCAGAACUGAAGCAGGAAAAUGUAUUGUCUUCCUCUUUCCCUUCGGAGUGCUGCAGCUGCUGGCCUGCUUGAAGGAAUCCUUCCUCGCUUGGGGUAUGAACUGGACUCGCCGAAUAAAGGAAAACUGCACAUUUUCAGUGAAUUCAGGGAAGCAGUACUGUGGAGAUUGAUUUGAAAAAUCCCCGCCACUCACAAGCUUUGGGGGCUGUUCUUUUUUCCCUGCCUGUCUGGUGCCCCCUUUCCUAUAGGGCUUUCUGCCCACAUUCCUGAAUGCCACAGCGCACUGCGACAGCUGUGGUGGUAGCCUGGAAUCCCGAGGACGCUGGUGGGGCCUCUUGCAUUCAAGAGCAGAGAUGCUUCGCCUGAAGGGAAAGCAAACCGAGCUGUUGGUGCAGAAUUCAUGAGACGUCCAUCCGGCACAAAUAGUUCCCGGAAGGCAAGGUCAAAAGACAGUCUGCCGUGUGGAAGAUUUCUGUGGCUUUCCAAAAGUUAAAAGUGGAUUUGUUUGCCAAAGACACGUUUAAGCUGAAGUUUCUUGGGGCUUAUUAGCAGAAUUUGUGGUGUCCUCAAAUUUGGACAGAAGGUUUUUAUGAGAAUAAUUCCAGAAGCUAGAGACAAUUAGGAGUUGCCACAAAAACACUCAUGCCUGGGUAUUGUCAUUUUAGUAGCUUUCAUUGAGCACUCAUAAUGACAUUUUUCAUUAAUUGUGUUGUGA